This 300-nucleotide ribosomal RNA is filed under the name uncultured bacterium. RNAcentral's name for it is "bacterial SSU rRNA". It matches the Rfam family "Bacterial small subunit ribosomal RNA", at positions 479 to 776 of the family's 1533-position model. The record is from RNAcentral.
CUAUGCGCCUUGCCCAGCCCGCUCAGGUGUGCCAGCCGCCGCGGUAAUACAGAGGUCGUCAAGCGUUGUUCGGAAUCACUGGGCGUAAAGCGUGCGUAGCGGUUUCGUAAGUCGUGUGUGAAAGGCGGGGGCUCAACCCCCGGACUGCACAUGAUACUGCGAGACUAGAGUAAUGGAGGGGGAACCGGAAUUCUCGGUGUAGCAGUGAAAUGCGUAGAUAUCGAGAGGAACACUCGUGGCGAAGGCGGGUUCCUGGACAUUAACUGACGCUGAGGCACGAAGGCCAGGGGAGCGAAAGGG